This 254-nucleotide unclassified non-coding RNA is filed under the name uncultured fungus. RNAcentral's name for it is "sequence contains ITS1, 5.8S rRNA gene". The stretch from base 206 to 254 matches the Rfam family "5.8S ribosomal RNA", at positions 1 to 49 of the family's 154-position model. The record is from RNAcentral. Lineage: Eukaryota; Fungi.
UCUCCGUAGGUGAACCUGCGGAGGGAUCAUUACAGAGCAUCAUGCCCUUCGGGGUAGAUCUCCCACCCUGUGUAUUAUAUACCUUUGUUGCUUUGGCAGGCCGUCAGGCUCCGGCUCGACUACCGGCUCCGGCUGGUAAGCGCCUGCCAGAGGAAAAUCAAACUCUGAAUGUCAGUGUCGUCUGAGUAAAAACAUAAUAAGUUAAAACUUUCAACAACGGAUCUCUUGGUUCUGGCAUCGAUGAAGAACGCAGC